Molecule: long non-coding RNA, 551 nt
Organism: Rosa rugosa (rugosa rose)
Lineage: Eukaryota; Viridiplantae; Streptophyta; Magnoliopsida; Rosales; Rosaceae
Exons: 3
Source: RefSeq, a predicted model, not a curated record
UCUCUCUCUCUCGCCUGCAACUCCGGCCUUCUUCCUCCUCCGGCCACCUGACGACGCAAAGCAAGCAUUGAACUCGUCUCCGUCCCCCCUCUAGGUGCCUGUGGUGGUGUUUUGCGGUGGCUCAGCCCGAGGAGCUCGGAUUUGAGCUGUGAAGUUUACUGUAGCAAUCAGGAAGUUUGGUCGAUUUCCGGCGAUUCCGGCCAUUUCCAGCCACCAAACCAGCGUCGAAGGUCGGGUUUUUUCCAAGGAUCAUUUUCCCCCUAGCCUUGAGCCACGAUUUGCAGUGUAGAGGAGGAAUCGAAGAUUUGAAAUUUCGGGUUACUAUUCACCAUUCGGGUUCAAACUUCUCCUUAAUUGUUGAGGACGAGAUACCGACUCAUCACUUGACGAGGAGCCUUACGCUUGGAUACCACGUUAGCCGUAUACUUCUGCAGAGUAGCUGGUUCGGCAUAGUAGGAUUCGAGGCAUAGCAUCUGCUGCUGUUGUUUUCAUUGUGGGUUAACUGUUGCACCUCCCUGUAUUUAUUUUCUUUUUCUCUUUUAGAUUGCUCU